UCAUAACCUAAAUAUAAAUAAUUUAACAACUUAAAUUAAAGAAAAAAAAAAUCCCGGGCGUAGCCCGGGUUAAUCCCUAGUCUAUACUAUAUUAAAAGGGUUAUACGAGGAGUAGGGAGGCUAUCCACGUCAGACUAAAAAUUCUACCAAUCAAAUGCUUCUAAUUUACCACGUCACUUACUCAACACAAAAACUGUCGAUAUGUUUCGUCUUCUCCACUUCUCCAUUUUCUUUGAGCGUUACCGAUUCUUUCACCUCUCUUUCUUUUCCUCUUAUUUAAUAAAACCUUUCACCAGUGAAUCCAGAACAACUCGAUUUACACAAAUGAGGUUUAUCUGAUGAGUCUGGUUACCUGGUGUUCCCGAUCACGACGCCAUCGAUAACCGGACGUAACCGGAGGACGAGGAGGGUUGGAGAUUAAUAGCAGAAACGAAAUCGAAGAUGAGGAUGAACACGAUGAGGAGGAAGAGGAGGAGGAGGAGGAAGAAGAUCGAGGGGAGGUGUUCCCGAUCACGACGCGAUCGAGAACCGGAUUCUCGAUUGGGCCGAGAUUCUAAUGGCAAUCAAGGAUAAUUCAGGAAACGCGGCUGAUUACGUCGACAACGGAGCUGGUUAGGAGGCGCUGCUCCAGAAUUUAGCGGAAGGAGACGGUGGCGAAGGUGGUGGGAGGAGAAGAGCACCGCUGGCUGCUAAAUCGACGAUUGAGGCGUUGGAGACUUUCGAGGUUUGUUCUGAUGAAGAUGAUGAAGGUUGUUGUUUUCGCUGUGUGUAAACAUGGGAUGGUGAUUGGUGAAACCGUUAAGAAGUUACCGUGUGGGCAUUGUUACCAUGGUAAUUGUAUGUUAAAUAUCUAAUUGAUGUUCUCUCCUCUGAACUCUCUGAUGGUUUCAUGGUAAAACUAUUUGAUUCAAAUUAAGCACUAAGAUUAGAGCGUUUUGUUUUGUUUUAAUUUGUCUCUGAACAUGAAAAUAAAAAUCUGAUUUGUUAGCAGAAAGGCGUGAUUUUGUGCACUUAUGAUUCAGCAGAGAGAGUCGGAAGGCUUGCUAACAAGGUUUAAUGGGGAAAGUCAAACCUAAAAAAAUGAAGGUUUUCGUAGGGGUUUCUUGCACAACUUCUCUGAACCAUUUGGUUGUUGUGAGGAAACUUAUUGUUCUCUCCUUAAAAAUAUUGCUUCCUCGGUGUGUUUUCCUCUUCCAAAGGUUUUUGUUUUUGUUAUCAUACAUUUUCACUUUUAAUAUUGUUAUCAUUUUUGAGUUUGAGCAGGCUCAAGUAUGAUAAUAUGAAACUGAGGAGACUUCAUGAUAAAAUCCACCAAAAAGAGAAAAGAGGAACAUAGCAGACGUGUAAAAAAAAAGACAUUUGAUAAAAGGUAAAAAUGCUUCCCUUAAUUCAUCACCUCAAGGAGCAGACUGUUGCAAAAUAUAUCAGGAUCGUAUUGCACUGUUUAUCAUCUUUUAUUGUUCCUGCUCAUGUCUUUUUUCUUUACAGGACGAUAUUACCCUUGGAGAAUUGUAUACUUUUAGUAAACUCUAAGUAUGCUUUAAGAUUUUCAGGUCUUUUAGUCUGCAAAAGAUAGGAUCCCUACGUUUAACCUUUUAUUAACAAUCUUAUGUUAAAACCCUUGAUUUUUGUGGCAGCUUUCAGUAUGUUUCUGGAAGUAAGCACAAUUCUUUAUCACUUUGAUGUAUUUUGGGUCCGUUGUUCCACGUCUCUAGACUUAUAUUACAUAAGAAAAGACCUAAAACUCAAUCUUCACUGGUGGUUCUGAUGAGAUGAUGUUAACUCAAAUAUUGUAAGUUAGCAGUGUAACUGUACGCACGGACGUUGCUUGAAACUGCAAGUCUUCCCAUUCAUCUUUACGGUUACUCAAGCUAUUGCAUGUUCAUAUUUUCCCUUUACCUGCUGUCGUUCCUAUAGUUUCUGGUUCGACUUUACUUUGAACCUCUGUAAACUUACACUCUCAUGUAUCUUUUCAGUUACGGUGAAAGCUUUGCGUUCGGAACAUAUUGUGAUGGUUGUAACUGUGUCAAUCGUUCAAACAACGUUGACAAUGAACCUGAAAGAUUGAGAUAUUGAAGCAACUCUGUAAUGGAAUCUAAAUGCGUUUAGGUCGAAAAUUGCUAGCAGACCGUCCACAUGGGGUUAAAGAUAAAAGAGUACGUGGUUUGAGGAUUAGCAGUGCUACUGAUUUAAAAAAAAAAAACCAUUUACAUUUUCAAUAUUGUUGGAAGACUUCUGUGAACUUAUGUUAGAUUGCUGGGGAGUUCUUUUAGCUUCUAAGGUACAAUGAGAGAUUUUUCUUUUGUAGGAGGAUAUUGGUGAAGUUGUGUUGUCACUGUAAGAAAUCAGGAUGUUUUAAGAAGUAUUGUGAGUACUUUCAAGCAAACAUUUUUUAUUCUGGGAACUGCUAAUGCUUGGACUGCAAAAACUUUGAAGGAAGUGAGCAGAGAAAAGCUCUGUUUCAUGGUGAAAAUGCCAACAAUGUGGCUUAUCUCCACCAAUGAAACCAUUACUGGAGCUGUCGGCCCACUGGCUUUGCUCCUUUGACACCCAAGUGAAAGUUUAUAGCGACUCCAAGAAUCUAAUCACGAGAAGCUACUUUACCUGAUUUUGAGGUUCAACUUUAUCAGCAUUUAAGUCGGCUUUCUGCUCAGUAAUCUUCUUCUUCUUCUUCCUCUAGAUUGAUUUGACUGGUUCAUUAGUCUUUUCUUAUCUCUUGAUUUAUAAAUUGGAUUAUACGAUAAAGAGGUUUACUUUCAGGUGCAGUGUAUCUUCUGGAACAUGGCAAAUAAGCAUGGAAUGUUGUUUCAUCCUCCCGAAUCUUCAGUCAGAAUUUUAUUCUGUUCUUCAAUCCCUAAGGUCUCAUCCUGAUAAAGUUGUGAAUGUAAUUGCUCGACCAGAUGGGACCUCGAAACAUUUCUCUAUUCCCUACAUAAUUUCCUGUUAAAAUAGUAACGAUUCUAUCAGUUAUAUGCAUUUGGCUUAUUUUUGGUUUAUAAUUUCAUGGAUAUGUUUUGCUCAUUGCUGAUGUCCAAAAAAAGGAAGCUUAUGCUAUUGUCUCUCACAAUAUUGGUCAACUUCUUUUUCUGUUAGAGACACAAAUGAUUGUACAAGAGAAACAGAGAAAAUAUCAUGCUAGGAGAGCUUUAUGGCUACUCUGAACUGCAUCCACAGUACGGCCUAAGUCAGCCUCAGAAGUUAUACUGACGGGUUCUUUUGAUGGUUGAUCAACCCAGGACAGUUCAACAAAAAAAAAUGCUUCACAUCUACUCGUGUUUUAUAAUUUAACACACAGCGUAAAAUGAAGAAAGCACAAAACGGAGUCUUCAGAUGCUUUGGUUGUGAGCCAACAGAGAAGAUAGUGUACCAUUAUGCAAGUUGAAUCAACAAGCUCAACCUGUGAAAGUUUAUAUAUAACGAGAUUAUCUUUUCUGUUUGAACAAAAGAAGAUUAGUAUUUUUUUGUUCAAAUGAUUAUCUUUUCUUAAAUGUGUAAUUAUGGUGGACACACUGAUUCUAUGUCUUUGCUAUAAAGUUAUAUUUUGAUCUAUUCCAUGCAUACCAUUUGGUUCAGAUUGGAGAGCCCUUGGAAACUUAAAAAAUAAGAAAAUCGAUGGCACUAGAAAUUUUGAAAAAUGAUUAAAAACAAUAAAUAACACAACUUGGUUAAAUAUGUAUAUGGUUUUUGACAUAAGUUCAUAAUGAAUGUUUACUUCUAAAAUGAUUACGUAGUUUGGUUGUUAAAAGCGAUGGUCAGCGGCUAGCAUUGUUUGGAAAACCAAACCUACCGGUUGAAAUGUGACUCACUCUUCUAACCGGAAUUAGACUGUGCUAAAAAUCGGCAAAUUCGCUUAAAACUUGGUCACACUCACUAAACUAAUGAUGCAGAUCGAUAUUAAAUUCGUUGCUUUAAAAAAAAUCAAGUUAAAAAUAAUUGUACGUUUUAACAAGAUUGCAUUAAAAAAAUCUAUAUUAGCUUUUAAUAUCUAUCUAAAUAAAUUAGUUUUCAAUAUAUUUUAUAUUAUUUAGAACUUUUCAUUUUAUUUUCAUAUCAUUUUUAGAUUCUAACAAAAAUAUAAAGUUAUACAAAAAAAUAAUUUUAUAAUUAUACAUAUAUAUAUAGUUACUUAAAUUUAAAUUAUAUUAAAUUUUAAAAUCCGACAGAACCGGUCAGACCAUUGACCCAACUAAAAUACUGAACCAAUAUCCGAUCCGGUUUCCAAAAUAUUGGUGGCAAGGAUAAAAUUAAUAUCGUCCACUUUAUGAAUAAUUAAAAUAAAAAAAAUUAUUGAUAACAACAAAAUAUAACCAAUCUUAAAUUUAUAUUAAUAUGUUAAAUUUACAUAAAGUCAAUUCAUAUGUAUACUUAGUUUUGUUAGUCAGAUAUACCCUAAAUGUUUUUCAGAUUAUGAUAGUGAUUAUUUUCUUCCAACAUUUUGAAAAUGGAAAAUAUAAAACAAUAACUGAAAAAAAUUACACUAAUUAUUAUGUAAAUUAUUUAUACCAAAAUAAAAUGAACGUUUUGAUAAAAAAAAAAUAUAAUUACAUUAUUUUAUAAAACGUUUGUGCAUUAUUAAUAGUAUUUAUCAAACAACCACUUGGUUAACUACAAUGAUUUUAUCAUUCACUAUUUUUUUCUAUUUAGUCUAACAUUCUAUUUCUUUUGUUUUCAACUAUAAGUUUUGUUAAACAAUACAAAUAUAUGUAAAAAAAAUGAUUGGAAACUUUUUUUUAGCCGGAUUUAGACUGUGCUAAAAACCGGCAAAUUCGCUUAAAACUUGGUCACACUCACUAAACCAAUGAUGCAGAUCGAUAUUAAAUUCGUUGCUUUUAAAAAAUUCAAUUUAAAAAUAAUUGUAUGUUUUAACAAGAUUACAUUAAUAAAAAAAAUCUAUAUUAGCUUUUAAUAUCUAUCUAAAUAAAUUAGUUUUCAAUAUAUUUUAUAUUAUUUAGAACUUUUCAUUUUAUUUUCAUAUCAUUUUUAGAUUCUAACAAAAAUAUAAGUUCUAAAAAUAAUAAUUUUAUAAUUAUAAAUAUAUAUAGUUACUUAAAUUUAAAUUAUAUUAAAUUUUAAAAUCCGGCAUAACCGGUCCGACCAUUGACUCAACUAAAAUACCGAGCCAAUGUCCGAUCCGGUUUCCAAAAUAUUGAUGGGAUAAAAUUAAUAUCGUCCACUUUAUAAAUAAUUUAAAAAAUCUUUAUUGAUAACAACAAAAUAUAUACAAUCUUAAAUUUAUAUUAAUAUGUUAAAUUUACAUAAAAUUCAAUUCAUAUGUAUAGUUAGUUUUGUUAGUUAGAUAUACCCUAAAUGUUUUUCAGAUUAUGAUAGUGAUUAUUUUCUUCCAACAUUUUGAGAAUGGAAAAUAUAAAACAACAACUGAAAAUAAUACAAUUAUUUAUACCAAAAUAAAAUGAUUUUUUUUUGUUAAAAAAAUUAUAAAAACAUUAUUUUGUAAAACUUUUGUUCAUUACUAAUAGUACUUAUCAAACAACCACUUGGUUAACUACAAUGAUUCUAUCAAUCACUAUUUUUUUCUAUUUACUCUAACAUUCUUUUUUUUUCAACUAUAAGUUUUGUUAAACAAUAAAAAUAUAUGUAAAAAAAUGAUCGGAAACUUUGUUUUAGCCAUUAUCUACGCGUAGCGCGGAAAAAAAAUCUAGUACUAUAUAAGAGGAACAAUCUGAUUUAUAUAUACGUACCGUCUGUAACUAACACUUACAGGACCAGCGCUUCGUAGUUGAGCAGCUUGGCCAGGUUUGGCUAAGGCUCCCAUGGCUUUGCCACUAAGGUCAAAAUGAACUGGCUCAGAGGCGCAAGGACCACCUGGACACUCGUCCGUUAUCGUCACCGUUAUUGGGCUCCCUGAACAUGCUGGAUUCACGGUGCACAUAAUCUAAAAUAAACACAUUUAUAUUUACGAUAUGGUUGCGACAAAUAAUACAUAUGUCUUUCAGACUUGCAUGAAUGUAUGUAUAAUUUAUGUACAAUCUAGCCUGGCCACCACGACCCUAAAUUAAUCAAUACCACUUUUUGUAAGAAUAAAAUUGGUCGUUUUUUUGCUUGCUCAAGAGAAUUGCUUUAGUAUAUUAUUAAUACGAACCUGAUAACAUGUUCCACAUCCUUUUCCAUUGUUGAAUAGUGAAGGGCCUCCGGCUGAAACCAUCGCGUUUAGCGGUGGAUUGGCCACUGCCACACCAUAUCCACAAGCUCCUCCUAUUGACAUAUAUUUACAUUAUCAAACAAACAUAUUUUUUGAAGAUAAAAUAUUUAUAUAUGUAGUUUCAAAUUUUAAUAAUACGUACCGGUGCUACCUGCUCCCUCUGGUUCACCGUACCAAGUAGCACCAGCGUCUGCGUCGGCCCAUCCAGAGGCAUUUUUUGUUUCAUUCUGGCAAUAACAAAACUUAAAUGAGGCUGCAAAAAGAGCUAAAAGGGCAAAGCAUCUAUGGAAGGAUGUCAUUUUAUGAUCUAACUUUGUGUCGUUUAAAGAAAUUUCUGUAAUAUCAAUAGCUAGAUGUGAAUUCGAUUCAUAAUAUGAUAGUGGAUAUUUAUAGUGUGUUUUUGGGAGUAGUUCUUUGGAUUCAGUGGAUAGGAAAUCGUAUAAUUGGCAAUAUUAGGAUGUAGAAAUGUAAAAUGGAAUUAGUAAAAUAAAAAGGAAUGGAAUAUAGAGAAACAUGGAAUAUAUUUCAUUCCAUUUAUUCAUGAUUAAAAUUGGAAUGAAAUCAGUUUCUUUGAAUUUUCUUUUACUUUUAUGGAAUUGAUGGAAUAAAUAUUAUAUUUCAUUCAUUACAAAUGGUACAACAAUUUAUGGUAUAAAUGGAAUAGAGAAUUUCACAUCAUUUUAUUCUAAAAAUUGGCAUUCCAGUUUUGGUACUUAUGGAAGUAAUGUAAGCUUCCCAACUCUCUAGAAAGAAAACAUAUUUUUUUAACGAUGAUUUAUUAUGAUAUUACAAUUUUUGAGAAAGAUAGACGAUCGACAACCGACAAUAUUUUAACAUUAACAAAUUAUAGAUAGUUGAGCAAAACCCCCUUUGAUAUAUUGUAUUGACAUUAUGUCAUUCAGGUUUUCUAAAACUGAAAAAUAGGAAAGUUUUUUUUUUUGUACGUUCGACUGUUAAAGUUAAGACUUUAAUCAGCGAAUCAAGAUCAACGAUAUAAAACGUGAG
This is a long non-coding RNA of Brassica rapa (field mustard), 7165 nucleotides long. RefSeq lists it as uncharacterized. The record is from RefSeq and is a predicted model, not a curated record. Lineage: Eukaryota; Viridiplantae; Streptophyta; Magnoliopsida; Brassicales; Brassicaceae.